GGGGAUUUAGCUCAGUGGCAUAAGCACCUGCCUUGCAAGCAGGUAGUGGUGAGUUCAAUCCCUG
Transfer RNA from Cavia porcellus (domestic guinea pig), 64 nucleotides. It matches the Rfam family "tRNA". From Rfam's summary of the family: Transfer RNA (tRNA) molecules are approximately 80 nucleotides in length. Their secondary structure includes four short double-helical elements and three loops (D, anti-codon, and T loops). The record is from Rfam. Lineage: Eukaryota; Metazoa; Chordata; Mammalia; Rodentia; Caviidae.